AAUAUUAAAUAAAAACGAAUCAAAGUUUUAAGUAAUUAAGUUUAUAAAAGGCCCGAUUUAACGGGACUUAAAGUAAAACGGGUUACGACUUCCCGAACCUACUAAGCUAACUAGGAAUAAUUCUAACCUAGUUAGAUAGUGACUUAUGAGUGGGUUAAAACACUUAAAUUAUGAACUAAGGAAAAUGAAGGGGCCAAAGAUGUUAAAAUCGAAACUUAUGUUGCUAAUUUAAUUAAAACAAAAACCAAACACCCCAUUUGGGGAUGUCUGGUCGUACAAAGAAGCAGGAGGCGAUGGGUUUCUUCAAACCCUAAAAUCCUUACUAAAACUCUCAAAUUGGAGGUGCAAAUCUGGUCCAAAACGAAAAUCGAGCAUAGAUUACUGAUCCCCAUUGCAAGGGGGUUGUAAGUUUGAAUCUUGACAAGCUAGAUGGAGGCUUGGAAUGAAGCGGGUCAAACAGAGCAAGUACGAAAAGGAAAGCGUAAUUUGGAUGCGAGUCUUAGGUACUCAAGGAUUAUGGGUGACGAUCAAGCAACUUUUGAAGGACCGAACACAUACUCUUGAAGCUUCCGCAUAAAUCAACUCGGUUUAAACAAUGUGUAUGAUGUAAACUGUUUGCUAAACAACUUUUGAAAUGUUUAAACGACGUACUCAAUUAUGUUAUGUUGUAUUAUUUAAAAAUUGUAAAGUUUAAACAAACCCGUAUUUUUACAAAGUAUAUGUAGUCAUAAUUACAUGUUGUUUGUCGUAUACUUUACAAAAACCAUUAAAUAAUGACAAGGG
Long non-coding RNA from Helianthus annuus (common sunflower), 783 nucleotides. RefSeq lists it as uncharacterized. The transcript has 3 exons. The record is from RefSeq and is a predicted model, not a curated record. Lineage: Eukaryota; Viridiplantae; Streptophyta; Magnoliopsida; Asterales; Asteraceae.